CUUUCCGAAAGAUAUUGAGUGAUUAAACACAUACGAGAUAUACUUGCAAUGAAUGAACUGUAUUGGAGCAGCCUCCCGGGACUGCCCAAAAAACUAAAAUGGCCUGUGAAGGUUACAGACUGGGGUGGGGGUGGGGACAUUAUAACGGUCUACUGCCGAAGUGAUGAUGCAGUUUGCUCUUAAAAAUAGAAAGGGAACGCUACAGGCAUUUAAAGAUGACAUCAAAUGGGCACAAGAUGACAUCAAAUGGGCACAAGGCACGUAUAAAUAUUAAGCUUUUUAUUAAUGCGUCUUCAACAAGUUCUUUAAAGGAUAU
Dreissena polymorpha is the source of this 316-nucleotide long non-coding RNA. RefSeq lists it as uncharacterized. The record is from RefSeq and is a predicted model, not a curated record. Lineage: Eukaryota; Metazoa; Mollusca; Bivalvia; Myida; Dreissenidae. The transcript has 3 exons.